RNAcentral lists this ribosomal RNA (211 nucleotides) under uncultured bacterium. RNAcentral describes it as "partial 16S ribosomal RNA". It matches the Rfam family "Bacterial small subunit ribosomal RNA", at positions 1290 to 1500 of the family's 1533-position model. The record is from RNAcentral.
AGUUCGGACUGCAGGCUGAAACUCGCCUACAUGAAGUCGGAAUUGCUAGUAAUCGCGGAUCAGCAUGCCGCGGUGAAUACGUUCCCGGGCCUUGUACACACCGCCCGUCACACCAUGGGAGUCGGUAACACCCGAAGCCUGUAGUCUAACCGCAAGGAGGACGCAGUCGAAGGUGGGAUUGAUGACUGGGGUGAAGUCGUAACAAGGUACC